This is a long non-coding RNA of Gasterosteus aculeatus aculeatus (three-spined stickleback), 4682 nucleotides long. The record is from Ensembl. Lineage: Eukaryota; Metazoa; Chordata; Actinopteri; Perciformes; Gasterosteidae.
UUUUAAUCCUUAUGAAUGUAUGGCAACGGUCCUGCUUUGUGAAAGCUCCUCCCCUCUAGUAAGUAAGUUUUAUUCAACCUAUAUGGGGUAUUUGCUGAGAGGAGCAUGGAAGAUGCAUCUUCCUCACGCUGCUCUGCUUUACAGUGAUUAAAGGGGUCGGUUUUUGGGGGUUGGGCUUCACUUUGAUUCCGAAGUAAUUAGUUGUACCUGUUCGUACAUGGUCUCUGAGGCCUUGUUGUACACGCUGUAUCACUUCAUCAUGCUCCUUUGUUCCGGGGUAGAUGUUACAACACGUAACACGUAAGAUGUCCGUAGGUUUUAGGACUAAUUAUAGAGCAGAACAAUAUCUGAAAACACAAAUGCUGCUCUCAUCAUUUAACUCGUAUAUGUUUCCUUCCAAAUAUUUUCAUGUGAGUUACGUGAUUACGUAAAGAAAACAUUUUAUAAAGAAUUUUAUUCACAUAGAGGACAACGGCGAUCUCAUGAAGGUGUUCAACAGACGCCAGGUUAGAGACAAUGGAGUAAGAAGAAGAGGGCCUUCAAGAAGGAGAACAAGGACAGCUGGAGGAGGACUCAUUGUGAACAUCCUCAAACCCACAAUGGAUAGCCAUGAGAACUCACAAAAGAGGCUUUUUGUUCUUUGGGCCAGCUGACUCUUGUAGGUCAAACGGUAUUACUAGAAGCAGUAGUUCAUCAAGUCGUGGUAAGCAUGACUCAGCACCGCUGGCUCCUUUUGGCGCAACCUCUGGACUGACAAACCCUUUUGGUUUAAGUGAGCCCACAAAACAUCUUUCAAAGUCUGGGAUUUUUCCAUUUCCACCCAGUAAUUCCAAUGCCCAGCCACUGUGCACGUCACACGGGCACUGCUCUCACACAUGCAUCACAAACAACAGCAUCGCAGUUAAACAGCUGUAUGUGAUUGAGCCUUUCUCUAAGGUCCGACCCUAAAUCACCUGGAGACCGACACACACAGUCUAGUCCUGCAGUCUCAAGCCCACUUGAAUUGAGCUUCCUCAUCCAGGCUUCCCUGAACCUCACCCAUGUGUUUGGAAUAUUCACCUGAUGGUUGUUUUCCCAGCUCUGUUAUCCCAUUGAUGGAUUUCAUAUUACCCUCCCAGAGAAGCUACUCCGCUGUCCAGCCAUGCUUGUUAGCACAUUAAGCCCACUUAGCCUGGUGACCCUUUGACACAGAGUUGGCGUUGCGCUUGGCGGGGGUUCGGCCGUAUUGGAGACAUUGUUGUUGGCGCCGGAGGGAGGAAACGCUACACACAGACAGCUGGCUGUGAGUCACGAGAGAGAGACAUCCGUCAUCCAGAUGUGUCAACGGAUCAGCCGGCUUCCUGAUGACAAGUCAGCGCCUCACAACGAUACGUCCUGAUUAUGAUACUUACUCCGAGAGAAUUCAAGGGAAGAAAUGCAUUCGCACUUGUAUCUCUUCAUUCACCCGAUUGUGAUUAAUGGAUUACUCAGUGACAGGGUCCAGACACACUGCUCACGUGUUACCAUGGUGACGCUGUUACCUAAGGCCCUGUAAACUGCUGUUCUAAUGAACAGUGAUCCUCUGCCUCUCAUCACCCUGUCUAUGUCUCUGUGCGUGUGUGUGGAUAGGUGUGUGUCUCUGUGUGUUUAUGUGUCUGUCUGUGAACGUGUGUUUGUGUGGUGUUCUGUCUGUGUGUGUGUGUGUGUGUGUGUGUGUGUGUGUUUCUGUGUGGUAUGUUCUCUGCAGUGAGGUGAAACGACAACAUGUGUGUGUGUUCAUCAGUCCUAAAUCCAACAUGAAGUCCCUCUAAUGAAGACGGAGGUGUUGAUUGGGAUGCCUCUGUGUGUGUGAGGAACAUGAAGUAGGAGUCUUCCUCUUCCUGUGUGUCUCCUGGCGUCGGUCCCGGUGAUCCUCUCUCCAUAUGCUGGUCCAGUCCUCUCUGUUGCGCUGCUCUCAAGGCCUCCAUGUGUUUCUGUUUCCACUUAACUCCCAACACUCGGAGGCCUGCUCUCCCAUCUGCCUGCUCCUGAGUAUCCCAUUUUGUUUUUUCAAUCUGCAUCAGUUUGUUUGCAAUUAUCUCCUCUGUAAUGUUUCAUGUUUCACUUGGGAGGAGCCUGGGCUCAUUUGGACUCGUCUUCCUGGGGGGGCAGAGUUCAAGACCUCACAAGAAGAACAGAAGCUCUUUGUAGGUGGGAGCACAACGUCCACUUAGAGUUCCUCUAAGGUAAACUGGGUCAGCGAUGCGGCCAUUGUUUGCGUUGCUACCGCCGUUAGCUGCUACCGCCAUUAGCCGCUAGACCUUGGUUCCGCCCUCGUCAGGGUCUGUGGCGAUCCUUCCAUCACAGAUAUGCUCUGGAUUUCUUAAUCAGUACCUAAAUUGAGCAGGUUUAGGAAAUGCAAAUGAAGCAUGUCAGAUGUUAAAGACAAAUAAAUCAAUGUUUUGCUGUCAACACAACACCGACAUACCUGAUAAGUGUGAUACUGCAGCAUCAUCCUUCCUUUGGCGUUGUGCUCAUGUCCAAUACCUCCUUUUAGUUUUGGUAAAUUGCGGUCCUGUAGGUCUAUGAAUCACUGAUAUAAGUAACAGCCAAGCAAUGUGCUACCUUCACGGUGCUAAAGACAACCAGCCCGACAUGAAGAAAAGAGUCACCUAAUUACACUUAGGGGGGAGCAUGAGGCCCGUGCCGAGCAGGUAGGGGUGUGGUUUUACUCGGCUGGAUUCCCUAAUCUGUCUUUCUGCAUUAUCCCAUAGGAGAAGACGUUUGAUCACUUCAAGGUGGGACAAGGCUAUGGGACAUUUAAGGAGCAUCCAGUUUCCGACUCGAGUCCAGGUUAAAUCUGGCUUUGGAUCAUCAGGUUUCUCUCCUUUAAUAAGUGGAUCUGUUUCUCUCACCAUCAACAGGUUAAGAAUGAUACCAUGGUACCUUCUGCACUUCCUGUUUGAGCCGGGGUCAGCACACUACAGUAGUGCGGCGGAUAUCUGGACAUUUUGCACUACAGUAGAGAUAGAGAGUAAGUGUGCCUGGCGUUAACGACCUGGGGGUCGUUGUGGCGCAGGGGUUAGAGAAGGUGUGCUGGGAAGCACAAGGUUGGUGGUUCGAGUCCAGGCUGCCCCAUGUUCCAUGUCGAAGUGUCCCUGAGCAAGACACCUAACCCCUAAUUGCUCCCCAGGCAAACAUGUGAAAAAAGGCCAUGGGUUUAAAGUGUAAUGUAAGUCGCUUUGGAUAAAAGCGUCUGCUAAAUGACCUGUAAUGUAAUGUUAAUACACACGCACAAAGCUGAUGCAAUGAUAUUUCCAUGUAACUAUGUAAAUCCAUUGCAUCUUCCCGGACUUUGCUGUGGUCAUGGUUGAAAAGUAUCUGCGGCCAGAUGCUUCACUCAUGACAAUAGCAGAUGAGUCAGCAGGAGUAGAGUCCUCCCGCACAUUCUCGGACUGGAAUGAGGAAUCUUCUGAAUAAGUUUGGUGUAGAACAAAAGCCCACACUUUUAGAUUAGAUCAGAUUAUUGCACCGAAAGAAGCGGUACUCCAGACAGGAUCGAUAGUCACACUUCAUCAGCUGCUGCUAUCAGUUUAUUCACUUACAUUGACAGCAACGUGAAAGUCCCAUCAUCACUUCCAUUACAACCCUUUUCUGGCUAUAAAAAGCUGAUAUUGGCAAACUGACACAUUAAUGGAACAACACGGCUUCAUGGCCACAACAAGUGCUGGCUUUUAGCAAACCCCACCACCCUUUAGUCCAGCAAUAAUUAAACUAUAAACACAGGCUUUCAGGGUGCUUCUCGGCAGCUUUAAAAACAGACAGCAGCUCCGAAACGUCUGUUAUUUUACUAACUCUGAGCCGUAUGAGCUGUAUCGGAUCGCUGAGCAUUGUUCUCCAGAGACGGACCUCACCGCUGAUGGAGACAAAUGGGCCCUGGCGAAGUUCCCCAUCCCCAGCUGAGGAAACAAAGCGGCUGGUGGAGGCCCAGGGGAGGGAGACUCUCAGUCAAGAGGAGAUUUUCCGAAUGAGCAGAAGUCACAAGCAUCUUGUCUAACGUCUCCAUGACAGGGGGAGAAAGUACUGAAUCCUCGCUGUCAGUUUGUCAAGAGCCACCAGGAUGAGAUCUUCCAGCGAUGAGACUACGGAACCAUUGCAACCCUGCUCCGCCACGAUACCCCAGCAGAGUGUUCUCACCAUCCAGCUGCCUUGCUCUUGUCUCUACUGGAAAUGCAAGACAAGGGACAGCUGGUCUGUUAGUGUGAGAGACCUCACAGAACCGCUUCAGCUGGUACCAAUAUGUCUGUACUUAUUAAUAUCAUAACAUCUUCCAGAUUUACACAACUUUGGAAUCAUUGUUUUCUAUCGACCAAGACUGAGAAUGACUGAGACGACAAGUAUGCAGAGCACUCAUAAAAUAUUUAGUAGCGGCAAUUAGGCUCUCAACAUGCUGAAUUGGACCAUGAACAGCAUUCAGUAAGGUCCAAUAAAACCCUAAUAGUUCGAUAUGUGCUCAACAAGGAAGCAUUGUGUUACAUUAACAGGCACAAUGUGAAGCCAUAGAACCUCAGGCUGGGUAGAUUGUGGAGAGGAUGACGAGACUUACAUAUGAUCAUUUAAAUAGAGAUUGUGAUCUGAAGCAGUAAAAACAAUAAUUAGUAAAAAAUAAGUAAUCAGAAAAGUUUGAUUUAUUUUUCACAUUUGAAAAUAAACCAAUAUUUUAC